ACUAUAUUGGCAGAUUAGUGCAUUGAAUUUAGAAUUCAAUUAUGUAAAAUUUACAUAUAGUA
RNAcentral lists this transfer RNA (62 nucleotides) under Pseudothericles compressifrons. RNAcentral describes it as "tRNA-Leu". The record is from RNAcentral. Lineage: Eukaryota; Metazoa; Arthropoda; Insecta; Orthoptera; Thericleidae.